RNAcentral lists this ribosomal RNA (282 nucleotides) under uncultured bacterium. Its description in RNAcentral is "partial 16S ribosomal RNA". It matches the Rfam family "Bacterial small subunit ribosomal RNA", at positions 337 to 636 of the family's 1533-position model. The record is from RNAcentral.
ACCUACGGGGGGCAGCAGUGGGGGAUAUUGCACAAUGGGGGGAACCCUGAUGCAGCGACGCCGCGUGGGUGAAGGAGCGUUUCGGCGCGUAAAGCCCUAUCGGCAGGGAAGAAGAUGACGGUACCUGACCAAGAAGCCCCGGCUAACUACGUGCCAGCAGCCGCGGUAAUACGUAGGGGGCAAGCGUUAUCCGGAUUUACUGGGUGUAAAGGGGGCGUAGACGGCGGUGCAAGCCAGAUGUGAAAGCCCGGGGCUCAACCCCGAGACUGCAUUUGGAACUGU